CAUGGGCAGCCCUAUAUUUUUUACUCCAAUACAAGGCCCAAUUAUCUCUCAAAAUUAGCCAACAACCUUCGUUUUCUGUUGAAUUGAUCUCUACAUUCAGCCCACCAAUUUUUGUGAAUAUAUAUAAUAGAAAAAAAAAAAAAAAAGGCCAAUUGUGUAGAUGUCUCUCCAUAUAUAUAACCCACUUUGAAGUAGAAUUCCAAUUAUUCUUAAAUUUCCAGCUGGCCGCCAUGUUGUCCUAUUGAGUUCAAAUAACUAAAGAAUUUGAUUCAAUGGCUGCCCAAUUAAUAAAUUAUUUUUUCUCCAAGUCCCCAACUUCUACGAAAUGGUCAAUUUAAUCCCCGUGUUUUGGAUUUUGCUAUUUUUCUCCAAUUUUGCUUCUUUCCUUUAACUCCUUUUCAUUUAUCGAGUUUACCUAUAAAACAAAAAAUACAACAAUUUAGGAUAUAAUUUGUCAAAUGAACUGUCAAAUUUUGCUAUUUUAGGGCCCCGAAUAAGUGUAUAAAAUACACUAUCACUGAUUAAUAUUCCAUAUAAAAUUAAUCAAGAGCUUCAUGAAAUUGGCUUUGGAUUUUCGACAGAAUAUUUAGUGAUGUGAUGUGGUCCAACAGACAACUAAUGGUAUCAAAAUAUGUGCACAAAAGACCAAAAUACAGAAUAUAACAAAAUACAGUUAGCUUACCAAAGUGAUCAAUCAAGCUACUAUGCUACCAUGCUCCUUGCCAAUUACUUGGAGCACUGGUGUCAUUGCCUGACUUGAAGGAGGCAAAUGCAUAAGCACCAUGGUAAGUAAUAAGAAGCUAUAUAUAUUGUUGUGUCAAUUCAAGAAUGACAUUUGUAGAGUAGAUAUAAUAAUUUGAAAUUAUACAGGAAAUCUAAAUUUAAACACACAAAAAAUGGUUUUGAAUCACAAUAAUGUACUUUAAGAAAACAUGUUACUUAUAGUCAGCUAUAAGCGAUAUGACCAUAGCCCCUAAAACUCUUUAAUACGGUUAUGUGAAAAAAACAAAACGUUAGGUUUCAUGUGAAUUCCUUGAAAUAUCUUAUGUCAUGUUAACUGGCUGAAAACAUUGUACAUGAAGUCAUCAAAUAUGUGCAAAAUUGCCACCUAGGAAAUUUUAUUCUAUAAACACACUAACCUUUUAUCUCAGCAGCCGCCCUCUUUUCUCCCGCCAAACUCCCGUCCUUGCAGCCGUUUCUUUUGUGUAUAUAUAUUACAACCAUGGGCAGCCCUAUAUUUUUUACUCCAAUACAAGGCCCAAUUAUCUCUCAAAAUUAGCCAACAACCUUCGUUUUCUGUUGAAUUGAUCUCUACAUUCAGCCCACCAAUUUUUGUGAAUAUAUAUAAUAGAAAAAAGGCCAAUUGUGUAGAUGUCUCUCCAUAUAUAUAACCCACUUUGAAGUAGAAUUCCAAUUAUUCUU
RNAcentral lists this long non-coding RNA (1422 nucleotides) under Olea europaea (common olive). Its description in RNAcentral is "long non-coding RNA (OEUR_LNC003111)". Lineage: Eukaryota; Viridiplantae; Streptophyta; Magnoliopsida; Lamiales; Oleaceae. The record is from RNAcentral.